UGGGGAAUAUUGGACAAUGGGCGAAAGCCUGAUCCAGCAAUGCCGCGUGAGUGAUGAAGGCCUUAGGGUUGUAAAGCUCUUUUACCAGGGACGAUAAUGACGGUACCUGGAGAAUAAGCCCCGGCAAACUUCGUGCCAGCAGCUGCGGUAAUACGGAGGGUGCAAGCAUUGAUCGGAAUUACUGGGCGUAAAGGGCGCGUAGGCGGCUCGAUAAGUCGGAUGUGAAAUUCCGGGGCUCAACCCCGGAGCGGCAUUUGAAACUGUCGAACUAGAGUACAGUUAGGGUAAACGGAAUUCCACGUGUAGCGGUGAAAUGCGUAGAUAUGUGGAAGAACACCGGUGGUGAAGACGGUUUACUGGGCUGUAACUGACGCUGAGGCGCGAAAGCAUGGGGAGCAAACAGGAUUAGAUACCCAAGUAGUCCCUGAGCGGGCUGGCAAGGCGCAU
This 447-nucleotide ribosomal RNA is filed under the name uncultured bacterium. Its description in RNAcentral is "bacterial SSU rRNA". It matches the Rfam family "Bacterial small subunit ribosomal RNA", at positions 355 to 825 of the family's 1533-position model. The record is from RNAcentral.